CAAGCAUUUUGCAGACUACAAGCAUACUCCAAGAAGCCAAACUUCACACCUCCAAACUUUAUUUGGAUUAAAUACUGUUCUGCUAGAUAGAAGCAGUGAUUCUGCUCAUCAGACAUACUGCUGCCUCAUCAAGAAUUGCUAUGUUUAUUUUGCCAGAGGCUGUAUCUUCAGAAAGAUGAAACACCUGGAUUUUUUUGCAUCAUCAAGACAUGAAUCAAUGCCAUCCCUAUCCUAGCAUCGCUACCCUUCAGAAGACCCAAGAUAAAUACCAGAACACCACUAAAAACCAUCCAAGAUAAAUACCAGAAGUUAAAAAAAAAACAGAAAAAGAAAAUAUGGAAGAUGGGUUCUCAGCAUCAGAUGGAGGAGAUGUUCCAUCAAGAAAUGAAAAUCUUUGAGUAUACUCAUACGUACUGUGAAGCAACAGACUAGAGGAACCAGAGCUCCUAGUGGUGUACAAAUGACAGAUGGAAUUUCUGACAACUUCCUGGAGGCAUUUAUAAAACUUCCGCCAACCACGGUACUGCAGUCUCCAGAUUCUUGUUCUCAGACCCCUGUAUCUACUAUUACACAGUCACAUUAGCACAGUAGUCCUGCAUCUCAUGUUCUACAAGUAAUUAAAAAAAAAACGUUAUGGGUAUGAACACCUUCUUCCAAGGUCCUCACCUUCAGGAUCCAUAUAAUGUACAUCUAUCUGUACGAGACUGCUGAGAGAGAGAGAGAGUGAUAUGGCAUGUGUUCAGUUGCUAACAGUAUGUUGCUGACAAUCUACUAUUUAUCUCAUUUUCUGAUGCAACUAUCAUCACUAUAAAACAUCAGAAUAUCUACAGGAAAUUAGCUCUUAAAUGAAGAACAUAUGGAUCAAACUGAAUCCAGACAAGACCAAAGUGAUGCUUCUUUGCAAAGGGAAACACAUUGAAGACCUCCACCUUUUCAUGAUAGGAAACAGCCAUUCUUUCCACAGUUGGAUGGAAAUUCUAGGUUCUCUUUGACUCCUGAGCAUAUGCUUCCAAAAAUAUAUUAUUUCUUCUCUAUCUUGUCCUUUCUCCCCCUCAGAGAGAACUGGGCUGGUAUGGUCAAUGUAUCAGGCACCUACAGACUAAAUUACCAUACUCCUCUGUAAGUGAAAAGAAAUCAAAAGACAAAGCACAGCAUCCACUUGAUAAAAUAUGCUGUUUCCCAUUUUCUGCUUGGUUGUAACUCCCAGAAGCAUUUCUACUUUGCCUUGUCGCUGGUUCUUCCAAUGCCCAUUGUAAACUUUGAUCCUAAUUGUUGUUGUGUUUGAGGCAACAUCAUGAAGAAAAUAGGACCAAAGCCUACACCAACUGUUCUUUUUUGCAUUAAAGUACCUGGAUGUUGAGCACAAAGCAUUCUUUAUUAAGUGGAUCUAGCUAUAGCAAGCUACAUGGACUGAGAAGGACAAAAACUGAAGGAGAAAACUGUUCGAUCGAAGAAACCAAUCUGUCUGCCCACAACUUGUGUGCCAGCUGGAUCUGUAAGACUUGUGUAAAGAGUGCUCACAAAUCAGCAACAGAAGAUUCUUUCUGCCUACUAUCACUGCCAAAAUGUACAACGUGAAGCAAGAUGAAAAGUCUGGUUAACAACAUUUUGAAAAGGAGGCAAUGGCUGAUUAGCAUGUAGACAAAAAGGAACAGUGAAUGAGCAUCAGAAUAACAUAGCUCCUGAAUUCCUGGCAAACAAAAGAGGCUUACACAAUUGUGGCAACUGGGCCCGUGUAUAGAACUCACCAUGAAACUGAAGAAAAUGAGAGUUUUCUACAUAGUCUUUAGGAGGGAAAAAAAAAAGAAAGAAAAAAAAAAAGUGAGAGAAAAGAGUAUUGCUAGAAAUAGUGUUGGGAAGUAACGGAGGCCCAAGACAAAACUGUAGAGGAAAACUGAGGCUUUCUAUUCUUGUGUUUCUUCAAGAAAUAGGAGCAUCUUUGGGACUACUCUAAUAAAAAAUCUAAAACAAAAGUGAGAACAGACAUUAACAUUAGAAAGCUAAUGGCAUAUUAACUUUGAAAAUAUUAAGAUUCCCUAAUUCAAGAGAAAUUAAACCCAGAAAAAAAAUGUUUUCAAAUAGCAAGAGCAGCUAAACAGAACGUAUCCAGAGGAAAGAAUAAAAUAACAACACCCAUUAGUGAAAAAUAAAUAUCCAGUCUGAACCGAAAGAACUUAAGGAGGACAAGCACACUCAAGAAUAAAGAAAGAUCUGAUGUAUGUACUCUCAAUAAGCAGCAUAACCUUCAAAACAAAUGGGAACUUUCAGAACAAGAAAAAAGAAUGCUCUUCCCAUUGAAAAAUCUGCAAAAGCCAUAAGGAAAAGUGCCUGUUUACACUGAUGUCUCAGCAGAGAGAAAGGAAGAAUAAGCCAUACAUGCAGUAACAGAAAAUACACUGAUAAAAAUGAAGAGACAAAUAUUUACAAUGCAUUUUUUUCAUUAAAAGAUGUUGUUGGAUGCUCUAAAGAAAAUUUACAGAAAUUCAGUCUUCAUACAUGAAGUUAUUGCAUUAGAAACAUAUUUCAGUUCAUACUGUCCAGCAGCAGUCAAAAAACACCAAUAUACAACUGGAAACAGACCUUACCCUUAUUCUCUGGUAUCUCUCCAUUGAUAGUCUGAAGACUAUGUAAUGAUCAUGCUGUCAGUGGAAAUCGUAGCAAGGCAUCAAGUGGCUAUACAGUCCUGACAAAUAUGGGAUAAUCUACAUCUCUAUCAUUCCUAAAACAUAUUAAUGUAAUAAAAAAAGUACAAGCUGGAAUUAAAAGCAUUAGAUGACCUAAACGGAGCAAAUUACUACAUCAUGAGUACAAUUGUUCAUACCACUGAAGUAAAGUGGAGAGCACUGUUCGUGCGAAAUAAUCAAGGUGUGAUUUUAAUUGAUUACACUAUUUCUUGUGAGCACAUUAUACAUGUUUAUAAUUUAUUCUAUUGCACAAAAUUAUUUAUUAAAAGAGAAUACGUGAAUGCUAUCUGCAUUUUCUUUAAGAAAUUGAGAAUAUUAAUUUUUUUUCUGCUAGUAUAACAGUAUAGAAAGUAUGACUUUAAACUAAAGGUGUUAGUAUCGUUAAUGUUCAGUCUGUUUUGCAGAGUUGCAGCAACCCAGUGAAAAUCAGCCAUGAAGGUGGUAAAAGCCCAGCACUUCCUCAUGCAAAUCUGACGACAAUACUGUAAUAUAUUAUGCUUCUGCUCUUAAAUAAUGCUUGCAACUUUUAACAUUUCUGCACUCCAGCUCUUGCAAUGCUAAUAGCACCAUUCAGCAGAUGAGUGAGAGGAGAACAGAUUCUGGCUGUUUGUCAUGUUCAUGGCUUUCUAAAUCAGCAGAUGGUACAACAAAACAGACAGUUUCCUCAUCUGCUGUGUUCUCUGUUCAUGUACAAUGUGUCUCAGAAAUGUUUACUAAGGCCUCAGUCUGUUCAUGAGACGUCAGGAGAAGCGUUUGCAAUCCCCUUAUCAUGUUCCUGAACCAAUCACAUUAGCAAUGCAUCUCUUCACUCGUAUAAGAAAUCAAACUUCAUGAUACUAGUCUGAAGUGGGAAAAAAAUCUCUUGAACUUCACUGCUAUGAAGCUAUGAAACCACACUGUCAUUCAGUUGUGUGAUAUCAGAGAUACUCCGUGCCUCAGUUUUUCCAUCCUCCUUAAAAUUUACUGAGUGAAAAGCCCCAUAAAGCUCACCAAGUUAUUUGGAAAGACACUCCAGAAAUCUCUCAAGUGGUUGUUUAUCACUAGGACACUUAAUGGUUAAGCACUGCAUCUAGUUGUAGAAGUAUCUGUAUAUUGGAUCCCUUCACUGAGUGCCAGGCACCUAUUUAUCCCCAUAAAUAGCAUAAGCAACAGUAGCUGUUUACAUCUUGUUGACUUAAAGUUUACAGCUUCUUCAGCCAUGAGAUUCACAUACAUGAUAUCAUGUUUCUGUAUUUGCUCUUAAAGACAGAGCAAUCCAAACCAGGAAGUACAAUUAAAGGAUUUGAUACGUUCAGGAAAAUUGAAGCAUGAAGUUUCCUAUUCAGACCAUGUAACAUAAAUGCCUGAGGAUAUCUUCUAGAGAGCUACUGUCAGAGAAAUUUUAUAUUUUCCCUGAUUGGUUUUUCGUCUCAGAGUGCAGUCAUUUAACUGUCAGUUGGAGUUAAAGAAAAUGUCCUGGCCUCUAGAUAAUCAUGGUGUAGCAAAACUUUCAGCAGUCUGAAGGUAGAGUUUGCCAUUCCCAACCACAUGUCUAGCCAUCUCUGGCUCCAAAAGGAGCUCUUUUUACAUUGGUCUUUAUUUGCUAGAUUUUCUAGAUAAAAAAUAUGCAGCAGGGAUUUAUUAUUGUUUGUGAAUAAAAUGCCUAAGAUAUCCCAGGGUAAUUACAUGGAAAGAUAAUGAUCAUCUUUA
Molecule: long non-coding RNA, 4373 nt
Filed under: Gallus gallus (chicken)
Lineage: Eukaryota; Metazoa; Chordata; Aves; Galliformes; Phasianidae
Source: RNAcentral